CUUAUUACGAUUCUUGUACUUGGCAAGUUAACCUCGCUCAGCUGAUCGGUGCGUGUAAACGGAAUAUAGAUAUUUUUACAUAUCCAGGAAAAGUAUUUGAGUUUUAAACCAAAAUGGUUCGUGUUUUGUGUAAACCUUACUCCUUACCAGGCUAUAUUGAGAGGCAUAAAGCUAGUGAAAUUAUUGACAGCGACCAAGCUCGCCGCGCAACCCAAGCACUUCAAGUUCAACCUAAUUUAACGGUACAUGGUGAUUACCCCAUAACAUCUCCCCCGAGAUGUCAAUCGGAAACAGACAUGUCCUGUGAUUCUGACGGAGAUAGCCUUUCUUCUUGUUCUGGCGGACAAUCAAGCAUUCCCAUGGAUGAGCGGCGUGCAGAGGUAGUUCAGAGAAGAAAGGAAAGACGAAGAGAAAGAAACAAAUUAUCAGCUCAAGCUUAUCGACAACGCAAACGAGAAGAGACACAAAAUCAAGACAAGGUUGUAACUGAUUUGGAAGAACAACAGAAACGAUUACAAGAACAAGUUGCAAAGUUGGAACAUGAAAAAGUGUGCGUUGAGACAUUUUUAAGAAACUGUUUUCAUUCUGUGCCAUGGCCUGUCCGAAAUAAUGAUAAUAACAACAAUGCUAAUAUGGAGCAAAAUGCCCAGAUGCAUUGUUGGCAUCUCAAUAAACAUGGUGAUCAGGUCAAUGGCAAUAUGGCGGUAGUUCCGGGUUGUGGAACCGCUAGUGCAAGACAAGAACAGAGUACGAUGUCGGUGUCUAACCAGAUGGUCGUAUCAUGAAAACCUUCCUGUGGCAAAAGGUAAUCGAAACUGUUCUCAGAUAGCUAAAAAGAAAAACAACAAAAAAGACUGGAUGGUCGGAUGUGUAGGCCUACCCUUUGGAACACAAAAGACUGGAUGGUUGGAUGUGUAGGCCUACCCUUUGGAACUUUGUCUACACUGGAGUUGAAACUAGACUCCCCAUUGACGUUAAUGGAUAACCUUAGCUAUAAAUUUAUGCAGACAUUUUUUUUAAUUUAUAAUUAAAAAUUGACUCAUUAUUUAUAGACUAAUAUAUAGAAUAUUAUUAGGGUUCCAUUAUGGUGUAGUAUGAACGUUUUUAUGUUGAAUACAUAUCGUUGGUUUGGGUUCCAAAGGCGUGGUUUUGGUUAUUGUAUGAUUCAAAAUUCUUUAAUAUGAACUAACUAUUAACAACAUUCUAAUAGUUCUAUAUGUAGAUUAGAUGAAACUCAUCUUGGAAUCAAGUGAUGUUAGAAACUUGUAUUAUCAUCAUGAAAAACAUUAUCGUAUAGGUUUUUGACAGGACGUGUGUUUAUUAAAGCGAUGGUUUAGGCUUUAUAAGUCUAUUGUGUAAUAAAUUUUAGGUUAAUUAUUGUGCACAUUUGUUCAUGCAAGAUAACAAAGAUUUUCAGCUACAAUUAAUCUAUUAAUUGAAAUAGGAUGCAUAAUAAACCAUUGAACUUGUUAAUUUGAAUACCAGUAUUUGUCUUUGUGCCGAUAUCUAAAUUGAAAUUUUAACUUUUGCCCUAAUAUGUUGAUGUCGUGUAUAAUUACAUUCUUGUUAGCCUUAAAUGCUAAUUUCCCCAAUAACCACGAUUUUUUUUUGUACGGCACCAAACGUUAUAUCUUUUUGUGACUUGUUUAAUUAUAACGGGUUCUCAAUACUGUCGCUCGUGUACGUGUAAACCAUUCUUUUGAAUGCAUGUCCCAGAUUGCCUCUCUAUGACGUAGAGGUGCUUUAAGAACUAAUAACAACAGCUUGAUGAAGAUUGUGUGUUCCUCGUGUUGACCAUUAUCCACACCUUUAUUUAUUUAUCAUCUAUGUGUAAUUUUUGAUAUAAAUCUAUUGUUCAUAUCUAUUGCAAGAUUUUACUCUGUUGUGACAUUGAUCGUUAUUUAAAAAGUCAAGGUCGGAAAAUUGACGAUGUUUACCGAACGGUUAAUGAAAGGAUUGUCACGAAGAAGAUUGUGUAUUUCUCAGUAUUGUGAAAUCGUUAUCACGUGAAAUUUGAGAUACAAUAAUUAUGAGUUUUUGUUUUGGUAAGAUAUACCAUAUACAGGGGUUUUAUUUUUCACUUCAAGUUGAAGUACGGCUGUUUUUUUUAAGGUUUUUAUAAUAUUUUAUAUGUGUUUGAAUUCUUUCUGUAUUAAUUAUUAUAUGAUAUGUAUUAUGUUGACAAGAUUAAACAUUAAAUGUUAUCACUUAAAACUUG
This is a long non-coding RNA of Patella vulgata (common limpet), 2218 nucleotides long. RefSeq lists it as uncharacterized. The record is from RefSeq and is a predicted model, not a curated record. The transcript is spliced from 3 exons. NCBI's taxonomy places the organism in Eukaryota, Metazoa, Mollusca, Gastropoda, Patellidae.